GACGAACGCUGGCGGCGUGCUUAACACAUGCAAGUCGAACGGAAAGGCCCUGCUUUUGUGGGGUGCUCGAGUGGCGAACGGGUGAGUAACACGUGAGUAACCUGCCCUUGACUUUGGGAUAACUUCAGGAAACUGGGGCUAAUACCGGAUAGGAGCUCCUGCUGCAUGGUGGGGGUUGGAAAGUUUCGGCGGUUGGGGAUGGACUCGCGGCUUAUCAGCUUGUUGGUGGGGUAGUGGCUUACCAAGGCUUUGACGGGUAGCCGGCCUGAGAGGGUGACCGGCCCCAUUGGGACUGAGAUACGGCCCAGACUCCUACGGGAGGCAGCAGUGGGGAAUAUUGCACAAUGGGCGGAGGCCUGAUGCAGCAACGCCGCGUGCGGGAUGACGGCCUUCGGGUUGUAAACCGCUUUCGCCUGUGACGAAGCGUGAGUGACGGUAAUGGGUAAAGAAGCACCGGCUAACUACGU
This 467-nucleotide ribosomal RNA is filed under the name uncultured bacterium. Its description in RNAcentral is "partial 16S ribosomal RNA". It matches the Rfam family "Bacterial small subunit ribosomal RNA", at positions 28 to 506 of the family's 1533-position model. The record is from RNAcentral.